UGGGGAAUCUUGCGCAAUGGGCGAAAGCCUGACGCAGCGACGCCGCGUGCGGGAAGAAGGCCUUCGGGUUGUAAACCGCUUUCAGGAGGGACGAAGCCACUCGGGUUAAUAGCCCAGAGGGUGACGGUACCUCCAGAAGAAGCCCCGGCUAACUACGUGCCAGCAGCCGCGGUAAUACGUAGGGGGCAAGCGUUGUCCGGAUUCAUUGGGCGUAAAGAGCGUGUAGGCGGCCAGGUAGGUCGGUUGUGAAAACUGGAGGCUCAACCUUCAGAGGUCGACCGAAACCAUCUGGCUAGAGUCCGGGAGAGGAGAGUGGAAUUCCUGGUGUAGCGGUGAAAUGCGCAGAUAUCAGGAAGAACACCCGUGGCGAAAGCGGCUCUCUGGAACGGUACUGACGCUGAGACGCGAAAGCGUGGGGAGCGAACA
RNAcentral lists this ribosomal RNA (426 nucleotides) under uncultured bacterium. Its description in RNAcentral is "bacterial SSU rRNA". It matches the Rfam family "Bacterial small subunit ribosomal RNA", at positions 355 to 774 of the family's 1533-position model. RNAcentral also lists the same sequence under 2 other names. The record is from RNAcentral.